RNAcentral lists this ribosomal RNA (429 nucleotides) under Gemmatimonadota bacterium. RNAcentral describes it as "Gemmatimonadetes bacterium partial 16S ribosomal RNA". It matches the Rfam family "Bacterial small subunit ribosomal RNA", at positions 355 to 776 of the family's 1533-position model. Lineage: Bacteria; Pseudomonadati; Gemmatimonadota. The record is from RNAcentral.
UAGGGAAUCUUCGGCAAUGGACGAAAGUCUGACAGAGCAACGCCGCGUGAGUGAAGAAGGUUUUCGGAUCGUAAAACUCUGUUGUUAGAGAAGAACAAGGACGUUAGUAACUGAACGUCCCCUGACGGUAUCUAACCAGAAAGCCACGGCUAACUACGUGCCAGCAGCCGCGGUAAUACGUAGGUGGCAAGCGUUGUCCGGAUUUAUUGGGCGUAAAGCGAGCGCAGGCGGUUUCUUAAGUCUGAUGUGAAAGCCCCCGGCUCAACCGGGGAGGGUCAUUGGAAACUGGGGGACUUGAGUGCAGAAGAGGAGAGUGGAAUUCCAUGUGUAGCGGUGAAAUGCGUAGAUAUAUGGAGGAACACCAGUGGCGAAGGCGGCUCUCUGGUCUGUAACUGACGCUGAGGCUCGAAAGCGUGGGGAGCAAACAGG